Molecule: long non-coding RNA, 468 nt
Filed under: Cicer arietinum (chickpea)
Lineage: Eukaryota; Viridiplantae; Streptophyta; Magnoliopsida; Fabales; Fabaceae
Description: long non-coding RNA (CARI_LNC002113)
Source: RNAcentral
UUCUGCUUCAUCUUCUUUUAUCUCCAUUCCUCCGCUUCCUCGCCGAUGUGCUCUGCGUUCUUCGCCUUUGUGAUGUUGAUAUGCAUUGUUCGUAGAUAUCGUUUUUGUUGAACCAUUCGUUGUUGUAUGUGUUGUUUGUUGUUAUCGGUCACAGUUGUCGUCUUCCUUAUCGUUAGUGUUAGCGUCCAUCGAACUUGUUGUUCUAUUACUUGAUUAUUGUUGUCGCAGCCAACUUUAGGUUAGUUUCUUUAUUUUUCAAUUUUAGAUUUAUUUUAUAAUUCCAUUAUUCCACUUGAUUACAUUUGUGAAAUAAAGAAGAAGAAAAAAACUUAUGUCAGAAUAUUUUCUUGUGUUAUUGAAAAGUUAUGCUAGUACUCUCAAAUAGUUCAUAGUUGUGAGAUAUGAAUACAAGGAGCAAAUUUGAAGUAGAAAGAGAUAUUAUUGUCUUGGUAGUCAAUUGGAAAUUUU